GAUCCUGGCUCAGGGCGAACGCUGGCGGCGUGCCUAACACAUGCAAGUCGAACGGGGCUAGGAAAGCUUGCUUUCCGAAGCCUAGUGGCGGACGGGUGAGUAACGCGUGAGUAACCUGCCUUUCAGAGGGGAAUAACGUUCUGAAAAGAACGCUAAUACCGCAUAACGUACAGUUACCGCAUGGUAGCAGUACCAAAGGAGCAAUCCGCUGAAAGAUGGACUCGCGUCCGAUUAGCUAGUUGGUGGGGUAAAGGCCU
Molecule: ribosomal RNA, 257 nt
Filed under: uncultured bacterium
Lineage: Bacteria
Description: partial 16S ribosomal RNA
Rfam family: Bacterial small subunit ribosomal RNA
Source: RNAcentral